UCGCGGCCUAUCAGCUUGUUGGUGGGGUGAUGGCCUACCAGGGCGGUGACGGGUAGCCGGCCUGAGAGGGUGGACGGUCACACUGGGACUGAGAUACGGCCCAGACUCCUGCGGGAGGCAGCAGUGGGGAAUAUUGCACAAUGGGCGGAAGCCUGAUGCAGCGACGCCGCGUGAGGGAUGGAGGCCUUCGGGUUGUGAACCUCUUUCGCCAGUGAUGAAGGCCUGUCUUUUUUGGGUGGGUUGACGGUAGCUGGGUAAGAAGCGCCGGCUAACUACGUGCCAGCAGCCGCGGUAAUACGUAGGGCGCGAGCGUUGUCCGGAAUUAUUGGGCGUAAAGGGCUCGUAGGCGGCUGGUCGCGUCUGUCGUGAAAUCCUCUGGCUUAACUGGGGGCUUGCGGUGGGUACGGGCCGGCUUGAGUGCGGUAGGGGAGACUGGAAUUCCUGGUGUGGCGGUGGAAUGCGCAGAUAUCAGGAGGAACACCGGUGGCGAAGGCGGGUCUCUGGGCCGUUACUGACGCUGAGGAGCGAAAGCGUGGGGAGCGAACAGGAUUAGAUACCCUGGUAGUCCACGCCGUAAACGUUGGGCACUAGGUGUGGGGGGCCUUUCCGGGUUCUUCCGCGCCGUAGCUAACGCAUUAAGUGCCCCGCCUGGGGAGUACGG
Molecule: ribosomal RNA, 661 nt
Filed under: uncultured Actinomycetes bacterium
Lineage: Bacteria; Bacillati; Actinomycetota; Actinomycetes
Description: bacterial SSU rRNA
Rfam family: Bacterial small subunit ribosomal RNA
Source: RNAcentral